Molecule: ribosomal RNA, 525 nt
Filed under: uncultured bacterium
Lineage: Bacteria
Description: partial 16S ribosomal RNA
Rfam family: Bacterial small subunit ribosomal RNA
Source: RNAcentral
UGGGGAAUAUUGCACAAUGGGCGGAAGCCUGAUGCAGCAACGCCGCGUGAGGGAUGACGGCCUUCGGGUUGUAAACCUCUUUUAGCAGGGAAGAAGCGAGAGUGACGGUACCUGCAGAAAAAGCGCCGGCUAACUACGUGCCAGCAGCCGCGGUAAUACGUAGGGCGCAAGCGUUAUCCGGAAUUAUUGGGCGUAAAGAGCUCGUAGGCGGUUUGUCGCGUCUGCUGUGAAAUCCCGAGGCUCAACCUCGGGCCUGCAGUGGGUACGGGCAGACUAGAGUGCGGUAGGGGAGAUUGGAAUUCCUGGUGUAGCGGUGGAAUGCGCAGAUAUCAGGAGGAACACCGAUGGCGAAGGCAGAUCUCUGGGCCGUAACUGACGCUGAGGAGCGAAAGGGUGGGGAGCAAACAGGCUUAGAUACCCUGGUAGUCCACCCCGUAAACGUUGGGAACUAGUUGUGGGGACCAUUCCACGGUUUUCCGUGACGCAGCUAACGCAUUAAGUUCCCCGCCUGGGGAGUACGGCCGC